RNAcentral lists this ribosomal RNA (484 nucleotides) under uncultured bacterium. RNAcentral's name for it is "partial 16S ribosomal RNA". It matches the Rfam family "Bacterial small subunit ribosomal RNA", at positions 30 to 507 of the family's 1533-position model. The record is from RNAcentral.
AUUGAACGCUGGCGGCAGGCCUAACACAUGCAAGUCGAGCGGAUGAAGGGAGCUUGCUCCUGGAUUCAGCGGCGGACGGGUGAGUAAUGCCUAGGAAUCUGCCUGGUAGUGGGGGAUAACGUCCGGAAACGGGCGCUAAUACCGCAUACGUCCUGAGGGAGAAAGUGGGGGAUCUUCGGACCUCACGCUAUCAGAUGAGCCUAGGUCGGAUUAGCUAGUUGGUGGGGUAAAGGCCUACUAAGGCGACGAUCCGUAACUGGUCUGAGAGGAUGAUCAGUCACACUGGAACUGAGACACGGUCCAGACUCCUACGGGAGGCAGCAGUGGGGAAUAUUGGACAAAGGGCGAAAGCCUGAUCCAGCCAUGCCGCGUGUGUGAAGAAGGUCUUCGGAUUGUAAAGCACUUUAAGUUGGGAGGAAGGGCAGUAAGUUAAUACCUUGCUGUUUUGACGUUACCAACAGAAUAAGCACCGGCUAACUUCGUG